GUGGCUAGUUGCGACGAAGUGUUGCCUCCUGAUAUUACCGUGAAGGAACAGAACUAACAGCCACUCUUCCCAGUUUUUCGCGUUGUUUUGAAACGUCUGCGAGCGAAGCUUAAUAACGCCGACCAGCAUCACAUUUCAGAAUCGGAAUAUAAUUAUAUUUUCAGUGAGACACUUGUUUAGACUGUCCUUUUGGUGGAUGGCGAGAGGUAAAUCUACCCCACUGUAAUUUCCUUGAGCGAGUCGACUUCGGCUCAACGCCCACAAGGCGAUUCUCAUCCAGGGCUUUCUGGCAGAGCCUGACGAUACGGGUCAGCCUCAUGCAGCGCCACCUGGGAGGGAGCACUUGAUAGAGGCCGUCAUCUUCCACGUCACUCUCCUCGUCAGACAUGAAGUUGGGGUCAGCUCCAACUAGGAAGUCUAGGUCUUCCGGGGUGAGGAACUUCCCUCCCACCUUCACUCUCUUCUGGAAGAGCUGACAUAUUACAAUCUUCUUCCUCAAGACGUCCUCUUCCUGCUUGCUACGUGUUACUUCCUUCAAGAAGCCAUUCUCCACCAACCGAGUGAUCUCGUGCACAGCAGUUUUAAGUACCGUUUCCAUAACUCCACUGAGCUGGUACUGGAAGCUGACGAUAGCUUCUGACAUAGCUGCAACAACAUUAACUCAGUACUGGACAAUAACCCACCGCUACGUUUCCUUUACUGUUACGAGUGCCUGAGUUCCUAACCAAUCUUCAACAAAUUAGUUAUCUCCAGGUUUGGUUUACUAUUGGAAAGACCUGAGUUUUGCCUUUUGCUGUGUUCAGAUCACACCUGCGCCCAGGCCAGUCAGGUGUCCGUUUCUCCAGUCCUGGAAAAAGGGGCAAGCCUUCAAAUACACAACUGCGUUCAUUUUGUGUAUUUUAUGUUUAGUUACAAAUAAAAC
Long non-coding RNA from Esox lucius (northern pike), 922 nucleotides. The record is from Ensembl. Lineage: Eukaryota; Metazoa; Chordata; Actinopteri; Esociformes; Esocidae.